UACGGGGGGGGCAAGCGUUGUUCGGAAUUACUGGGCGUAAAGGGCUCGUAGGCGGCCAACUAAGUCAGACGUGAAAUCCCUCGGCUUAACCCGGGAACUGCGUCCGAUACUGGCAGGCUUGAAUCCGGGAGAGGGAUGUGGAAUUCCAGGUGUAGCGGUGAAAUGCGUAGAUAUCUGGAGGAACACCGGUGGCGAAGGCGGCAUCCUGGACCGGUAUUGACGCUGAUGCGCGAAAGCCAGGGGAGCAAACGGG
Molecule: ribosomal RNA, 253 nt
Filed under: uncultured bacterium
Lineage: Bacteria
Description: partial 16S ribosomal RNA
Rfam family: Bacterial small subunit ribosomal RNA
Source: RNAcentral